This 69-nucleotide transfer RNA is filed under the name Marginitermes cactiphagus. RNAcentral's name for it is "tRNA-Gln". Lineage: Eukaryota; Metazoa; Arthropoda; Insecta; Blattodea; Kalotermitidae. The record is from RNAcentral.
UAUAUUUUGGUGUAUGGUGCACAUGAACUUUUGAUGUUUUAGGAGUCAGUUUAAUUCUGUCAGGUAUAA